Suncus etruscus (white-toothed pygmy shrew) is the source of this 130-nucleotide small nucleolar RNA. RefSeq annotates it as small nucleolar RNA SNORA51. The record is from RefSeq and is a predicted model, not a curated record. NCBI's taxonomy places the organism in Eukaryota, Metazoa, Chordata, Mammalia, Eulipotyphla, Soricidae. The transcript has a single exon.
GGCCUCCCGAUGUUUACCACAGGUUGUGCUCUUUACACUGACUGUAUAGAAGAGGAGGUACAGUAUAUGCUCCCCAUAUACCCUCAAACCAGCCCCUUUGCCUGGUCUAUAUUGUAAAUGGGGGACAAAA